Molecule: ribosomal RNA, 839 nt
Filed under: Bacillus pumilus
Lineage: Bacteria; Bacillati; Bacillota; Bacilli; Caryophanales; Bacillaceae
Description: bacterial SSU rRNA
Rfam family: Bacterial small subunit ribosomal RNA
Source: RNAcentral
UAUCAUGCAAGUCGAGCGAACAGAAGGGAGCUUGCUCCCGGAUGUUAGCGGCGGACGGGUGAGUAACACGUGGGUAACCUGCCUGUAAGACUGGGAUAACUCCGGGAAACCGGAGCUAAUACCGGAUAGUUCCUUGAACCGCAUGGUUCAAGGAUGAAAGACGGUUUCGGCUGUCACUUACAGAUGGACCCGCGGCGCAUUAGCUAGUUGGUGGGGUAAUGGCUCACCAAGGCGACGAUGCGUAGCCGACCUGAGAGGGUGAUCGGCCACACUGGGACUGAGACACGGCCCAGACUCCUACGGGAGGCAGCAGUAGGGAAUCUUCCGCAAUGGACGAAAGUCUGACGGAGCAACGCCGCGUGAGUGAUGAAGGUUUUCGGAUCGUAAAGCUCUGUUGUUAGGGAAGAACAAGUGCGAGAGUAACUGCUCGCACCUUGACGGUACCUAACCAGAAAGCCACGGCUAACUACGUGCCAGCAGCCGCGGUAAUACGUAGGUGGCAAGCGUUGUCCGGAAUUAUUGGGCGUAAAGGGCUCGCAGGCGGUUUCUUAAGUCUGAUGUGAAAGCCCCCGGCUCAACCGGGGAGGGUCAUUGGAAACUGGGAAACUUGAGUGCAGAAGAGGAGAGUGGAAUUCCACGUGUAGCGGUGAAAUGCGUAGAGAUGUGGAGGAACACCAGUGGCGAAGGCGACUCUCUGGUCUGUAACUGACGCUGAGGAGCGAAAGCGUGGGGAGCGAACAGGAUUAGAUACCCUGGUAGUCCACGCCGUAAACGAUGAGUGCUAAGUGUUAGGGGGUUUCCGCCCCUUAGUGCUGCAGCUAACGCAUUAAGCACUCCGC